Small nuclear RNA from Solea senegalensis (Senegalese sole), 192 nucleotides. RefSeq annotates it as U2 spliceosomal RNA. NCBI's taxonomy places the organism in Eukaryota, Metazoa, Chordata, Actinopteri, Pleuronectiformes, Soleidae. The record is from RefSeq and is a predicted model, not a curated record. The transcript has a single exon.
AUCGCUUCUCGGCCUUUUUGCUAAGAUCAAGUGUAGUAUCUGUUCUUAUCAGUUUAAUAUCUGAUAUGUCCUCUAUAUGGGGAUUAAAUAUUAAAUGCAUUUUUGAGCAGUGGGAGGUGAAAACUGGGCUUCUGUUCUUCACCUUUUGCAUUGACCUUGGCAUUGCAGUGCCACCAGAACGGUGCACCAUUC